GAACCAUAUGCAACUCAACCUUUUGCUAAAAACUACAAAACUAAAGAGCAACAGCCAAAUUGUAUUACGACGUUUGCGUCUACCUUAGGAAAUCCCUUUCUAUUUGUAUUUCGCGCUUCGUGUCACGUGAUUCAGACACAAACAAACAAAAUGGCGGAGGCUUCAAAAUCUACAAUGAGCGAACCAGCAAAAACAGAGGGAGAGAUGAGAAGAAGUAAACGCGUGAGACAGCCAUCUAAGAGAAUGUUGUUGUAUUUUCAGGACACAGAUUCAGAUUCAAGUCUACAGAAGGGUAAAGGAAAACAUCCUGCCAGAAAGUUGAUACAUUAGCAACAACAACUAAGGGGACACUGGAACACCAUAGCACGUCUGACAAUGAACCUGUACUGGCUUUUGUUCCUUCAAGUUCUGAUGAGUCUGAAGGAGAACCACUCAGUGAGAGAGAGGAUGAUUUAAGAACCAAAUGAAAGGGAAGGAAAAGAGGAAGUAAGAAAGUGAAAGGGCGCUGUUAUGUCCAUGAAGAACAAGAAAAAAAAAUCUAAGGGAAUAAUUGAAAGUCUUACAGUCAACUAAAGGAAAGAAUUUAGAUAUUGCUAGAAUUUUAUCAAAAAGGAAAGAAAAAAAGGAACAAGACCUGUGUCCAGUCCGGAGUGGUGCUCUUGUCACAGAUGCCCACAAUACGAGAGAGUGGAAGAUCGAGUUUGCUGUGGGAUGGUCCCAGAAUUAUGCUCAAGUCAAAGACCUGAGAUGACUCUAUCGGUGCUGGAUAGGAUGACCCUCUACAGUCAGCAGCAGUAUCGACAAGAUGUGUUUUCCUUUUAUGCAGAGACACUAGAAGAUGUAAAUAAAUCAUUCAGACAUGCUGCAUACAGACAAUUUACCAUCUUAAUGCAUGGGAAACUGACUGCUGGAGACAGAAGAACUGUCCCAGCAAGUUGUGUUAAAUUAAUAAGGGAGAAGUUUCCUAGUCUUUCAGGCCAGUAUACAGGCUUCAUACCAGGUGAAGGCCCAGUGUUCUAACAAUUUUGCAUAUUUA
Molecule: long non-coding RNA, 1036 nt
Organism: Dreissena polymorpha
Lineage: Eukaryota; Metazoa; Mollusca; Bivalvia; Myida; Dreissenidae
Exons: 7
Source: RefSeq, a predicted model, not a curated record